CCUACGGGGGGCUGCAGUGAGGAAUAUUGGUCAAUGGGCGCAAGCCUGAACCAGCCAUCCCGCGUGAAGGAAGAAGGCGCUAUGCGUCGUAAACUUCUUUUCCAGGGAGUGAAUUUUCCGGUCGUGACCGGAAUUGACGGUACCCUGGGAAUAAGCAUCGGCUAACUCCGUGCCAGCAGCCGCGGUAAUACGGAGGAUGCGAGCGUUAUCCGGAUUUAUUGGGUUUAAAGGGUACGUAGGCGGAAGAGUAGAAAACCUGCAGCUUAACUGUAGACUUGCCGUUGAUACUGUUUGUCUUGAGUAUGGUCAAGGUAGGCGGAAUGUGUAAUGUAGCGGUGAAAUGCUUAGAUAUUACACAGAACACCGAUUGCGAAGGCAGCUUGCUGGGCCAUUACUGACGCUGAUGCACGAAAGCGUGGGGAUCGAACAGGAUUAGAUACCCCUGUAGUC
This 450-nucleotide ribosomal RNA is filed under the name uncultured bacterium. RNAcentral's name for it is "partial 16S ribosomal RNA". It matches the Rfam family "Bacterial small subunit ribosomal RNA", at positions 338 to 795 of the family's 1533-position model. The record is from RNAcentral.